This is a long non-coding RNA of Scophthalmus maximus (turbot), 2685 nucleotides long. The record is from Ensembl. Lineage: Eukaryota; Metazoa; Chordata; Actinopteri; Pleuronectiformes; Scophthalmidae.
AUGGAGAAGAGAAAAGGCAAAAGUGGAUCACAGCCUGGUGUCUCCAGACCUGUGUUCAACACGUGCCACCAUCCUGUUGUCAUGACGACGUCUCUGUCACAUGAGGAGGUGGGUGACAGUAACGUUAACACAACUAUCAGAAUAAUAAUAAUUAUUAUUAAAACUAUCAAAUGUGUCUAUGAUGAAAACUGUGAAUAGGAAGUGCCGUCUGAUGCGACAACUGACGAUGUUGCUUGAUCACUGUUCUGAGCCUCGAAGCUUCCAUCUGAUUUCUAUCGUUUUUGGCGAACGGAACCUAAUCAGUUUGUUUUCACAUCUUUAACACAGGUCAGGACGGCGUCUGUUCACGCUGACGGGAAGUCGAGCCCGAGGUUGGUUCAACAAUGCACUUUGACACGAGUUGAAACAUCCCAAUGUAGUGAUGAACCCUAAACUGAAAUAGCUGGAAUUACCGUCAGAUUGUUCAGUGGUGUCAAUCGGUUUUCUGAACUUUACGAUACGCUUAUGUUCACUGUCGCGAUGAAAGAGUUGCGGUACAAAUCAAAAUCUUUUUUCUUUCUGUAGUUUAAAAUGAAACGUGAGCUUCCGUCGGACACGGUGAAGCCGAGGCCAGGACAACACACCAGCUGAAGACCGGCUGUUUGGAACAAUGGGUAAGUCGACGAACACCUUCAGCAGGAAGUGGCGAGGUCUCGUUCACUCUUUUGAAAAUACUAUGCCGACGUAAUCUUUGCUCUCCGCUGCUCAUCUAAUGUAGUCUUUCCUUCUCUGCCUAGUUCCCUUGAAACGCCGGGUUCUCUCAUCCCCCACCAGCUGAAGGAAGAGUUUGUUUGCAGGUGAGUUUUUCCCUCUUUUUUUUCAAUUUGAAAAUGUCAAUUUGCAGCUUUCCGUUGUGAUGAAACCUAAACUGAAAUAGCUGGAAUUACCGUCAGAUUGUUCAGUGGUGAUCUUUGGUUUUCUGAACACUAAGUUGAUAAUGGCACCGUGUGAAGACUGGACUUGAUCAUUUCUUGUUUUUUUUAAUCGAUUCAAACUUUGCUCUUGUUUCAGAAAGACAACUUCACCUGUGCACCUUCAGCUACACCUUCGAGAUAGUACUUUGUAAGUUAAUUUGGAGUUUCACGGCCUUUAUGUAAAAAAACUGCAAAAGGCUUUUUUUCCCCUUUUUUGUUUAGAAACUCACCUUUGUACAGUGAAGAUGCUCAGUUCUUGGCCAGUUUGAACAUCGGAAAUGAACAAGAGCUCCUUCUGCAAUCGGAGACCGGCAGUCUUAAGAUUUCAGACCUGUCUCAUAAUGAGCUGAUCCAGUCAUCGAUAGCAAACAUUUAAAUCCAACCUCGAUGACUCCAGUUGACCCAAGGCCUGUGCAGGGUGACUUCAGGUUUAACACCGGGUUUUCUGUCCUACGAAGCUGGUUCUGUUCUCACUGGGACUUUAAUCUCAGGUUAAGUCCACAAUCAGGGAUCAAAGCCAGUCACCAGUCCAACUACUGACCAAUCAGAUCACCGGAAAACCAGAGUUUUCUACAGGAUCCUGACUGGGACAUAAGAGUUUACAGUAACGUGACAAAAAAUAAAGUGCAGCAGAAAUUGAGUUAACAGUGUAAUUUGUAAUUAACAACUCCACUUCACUCUAACUAAUUACUGGUAAAUAUGCCAAAUAACUAAAUUUUAGGUUUGAGUGCAUUGACAUGAUGUACAAAGGUGAAAUAAUCAAAAAGCUAAACGAGUCUGUGAUGAAAACCUGGAAUAGGAAGUGCCGUCUGAUGCGACAACUGACGAUUGUUUCAAAUCCACUUUUCUGAGACUUUAAAAGCUGCGCUGAACAGAUUUUUUUUUUAAUAUGGUGUUAUUAAUUUCAAUUUUUUUCUUUUUUUACAGAUGCUGUUCUACCAGUGUGAUCCCACCCCCUGACAUCGGCGGUCCAGUGAUGUGACAGGUACGGUUUUCAUGCUGCAUUACACCAAUGUGUCACGUCUGUUGUUAUGAUGAACCCUAAACUGAAAUAGCUGGAAUUACCGUCAGAUUGUUCAGUGGUGAUACUCGGUUUUCUGAACACGACACUGCUGCGUUACACUGUGCACUUGAAUUAAAUUACAUGUGGAAUAACUUCCUCUCAUCCUGCAGGAUUGGAACCAAAUGGCUCCGGAGUCCAUUUCUUCUGCAGGUGACAAGGGGACUCGUAGAAGAUGGGACGUUGACGUGAUUGUUCAAAUCAUUUGAUUUCAUGUUAUAAAAAAAUAUAAAUAAAUGGCUUAAUUUGGAAAAUUGUCUGCUAUUUAUUUUUGGGGCCACUGCUUAUUACACUUGCACAAAUCAAUCUUAGAAUCCAUACAAAGUUGAUUGCUGUUUAUUUAGCCUACCCAGGUUUAUAUGAACCAGCGCUAUUACUCCUGUCAGUGUAAUAAAAUAUUCAACAUCUGACCGCAGCCUCCAGCGACUAUACGAUUGAAUUUCCACAUGAACUGAGCAUUAUGCUUUGCCAGACUGUCUUGCUCUUAACUAGUUGUAAUUUGACAGUCUAUUGGGCGCAUGCAUGAAUUAUAUCUAAAAUUAAAAAGCUCAUCUGAAAAAUUCCCUAAAGGCUUGUCCAGUAAGAUAGUUAUGUUAAGUGCAACGCCUCACUGUGCGUCCCACUUCAGACACCGUGGAGCCACCCGUCCCUCUGUCUCGGAAGUGUUUACUG